This 741-nucleotide long non-coding RNA is filed under the name Homo sapiens (human). RNAcentral's name for it is "HSALNT0291844". The record is from RNAcentral. Lineage: Eukaryota; Metazoa; Chordata; Mammalia; Primates; Hominidae.
UUUUGCGUGCCUUCCACCGCCGCGAGCUCGGAAUGUCUGGCCCCGGGUGCUUCAGGGUCCGAGAACCUGCAGAAGUUCACACUUAAAUCCUACACGAGAGUCGUAUUUAUGAUGCAGAACUCGGUGCAGAACCCGAUGGAGUGCCCAAGGCGCUUGAGCCGUUCCUAGAAGGGGAAGGAGAGCCGCGGGCGGCAGCGGGGCAGGGGACGGAAUUGGGAAGCUUGGGAGCAGGAAGAAGGCCAGAGCUACUUAGGAUGGAGAAACGGAGGCCCAGGGAAGGGAUGUGCCCGAGGUCAUACAAAGAAGUUUGUGGGAAUCCAGGCCAUGCGCGGUGGCUCACGCUUGUAAUCCCAGCACUUUGGGAGGCCGAGGCGGGCAGAUCACGAAGUCAGAAGAUCGAGACCAUCCUGGCUAACACGGGACUCAAGACUGGAAUGGGAAGAGCAUGAAAUUGAGCUGUCUAUCCCCCUGGAUCUCUCAUUGCCACCUGCCCAUAGGUUGGCUGCACCCCUCCACCAAAGAAAGGCCAUGACUCCUUCCUGGCAGCCCUGUCUUACAGCUACUCUCUGGUGAUCUGGGAACCACUCCCUCCCUUACCCCUUGAUGCCUAGGGCUAGUGCCAGCACCUUGUUGUUGUUAGCCUCAGAGGCACUUGCACUGUUCCUUGAUGGUUUUCCCAAAUCUUGCCCUCAUCUUUGUAAAUACUGUUUGCCGUUUAUUACACUGUCAUCAUAUUACCCA